ACCUGCGGAAGGAUCAUUGUCGUGACCCUAACAAAAAUAGACUGUGAAUAUGUCAUCCAUGCCGUCGGGCGAUGGUCCUAGCACCGUCUCUCGGCAUAGGCCCUUGUCCUUCUUUACGGAGGGCAGGCGGCCUAAAAGAACCCACGGCGCCGUGUGGCGUCAAGGAACACUAUGAUGCCAGCUCAGGGCAACGAUCAGCUCGCUGAACGAGGCCCUGUGCUGCGCUGCUACCGUAAUCCUUAAGACUCUCGGCAACGGAUAUCUUGGCUCUCGCAUCGAUGAAGAACGUAGCAAAAUGCGAUACCUGGUGUGAAUUGCAGAAUCCCGUGAACCAUCGAGUUUUUGAACGCAAGUUGCGCCUGAGGCCUCUUGGUUGAGGGCACGUCUGCCUGGGCGUCACGCCAACAAUCACUCCCCUGGAAUCCCCGUGCGGGAUGUGGUGUUUGGCCUUCCAUUCCACUUGAAAGGCGUGGUAGGCUCAAGUAAGUGGCUACUGGCUUAUGGUGCCAGUCACAGCACUUGGUGGAUGACACAUGUUGUUCUCGAAGUUGUGACUUGUACUGCUUUCGGCAACAUUGGCCCCAUAGACCCAUUGAUCGAUCGAGCAUUGUUUGCUUGCACCACGACCCCAGGUCAGUCGGGAUUACCCGCUGAAUUUAAGCAUAUCAAUAAG
RNAcentral lists this ribosomal RNA (673 nucleotides) under Sporobolus arcuatus. Its description in RNAcentral is "eukaryotic LSU rRNA". The stretch from base 244 to 399 matches the Rfam family "5.8S ribosomal RNA". Lineage: Eukaryota; Viridiplantae; Streptophyta; Magnoliopsida; Poales; Poaceae. The record is from RNAcentral.